GGUUAAGCGACUAAGCGUACACGGUGGAUGCCCUGGCAGUCAGAGGCGAUGAAGGGCGUGCUAAUCUGCGAUAAGCGCCGGUAAGGUGAUAUGAACCGUUAUAACCGGCGAUACCCGAAUGGGGAAACCCAGUGUGAUUCGUCACACUAUCAUUAACUGAAUCCAUAGGUUAAUGAGGCGAACCGGGGGAACUGAAACAUCUAAGUACCCCGAGGAAAAGAAAUCAACCGAGAUUCCCCCAGUAGCGGCGAGCGAACGGGGAGGAGCCCAGAGCCUGAAUCAGCAUGUGUGUUAGUGGAAGCGUCUGGAAAGGCGCGCGAUACAGGGUGACAGCCCCGUACACAAAAGCGCAUGUGCUGUGAGCUCGAUGAGUAGGGCGGGACACGUGGUAUCCUGUCUGAAUAUGGGGGGACCAUCCUCCAAGGCUAAAUACUCCUGACUGACCGAUAGUGAACCAGUACCGUGAGGGAAAGGCGAAAAGAACCCCGGCGAGGGGAGUGAAAAAGAACCUGAAACCGUGUACGUACAAGCAGUGGGAGCACAGGUUUACCUGUGUGACUGCGUACCUUUUGUAUAAUGGGUCAGCGACUUAUAUUCUGUAGCAAGGUUAACCGUAUAGGGGAGCCGUAGGGAAACCGAGUCUUAACCGGGCGUUAAGUUGCAGGGUAUAGACCCGAAACCCGGUGAUCUAGCCAUGGGCAGGUUGAAGGUUGGGUAACACUAACUGGAGGACCGAACCGACUAAUGUUGAAAAAUUAGCGGAUGACCUGUGGCUGGGGGUGAAAGGCCAAUCAAACCGGGAGAUAGCUGGUUCUCCCCGAAAGCUAUUUAGGUAGCGCCUCGUGAAUUCAUCUCCGGGGGUAGAGCACUGUUUCGGCUAGGGGGCCAUCCCGGCUUACCAACCCGAUGCAAACUGCGAAUACCGGAGAAUGUUAUCACGGGAGACACACGGCGGGUGCUAACGUCCGUCGUGAAGAGGGAAACAACCCAGACCGCCAGCUAAGGUCCCAAAGUCAUGGUUAAGUGGGAAACGAUGUGGGAAGGCCCAGACAGCCAGGAUGUUGGCUUAGAAGCAGCCAUCAUUUAAAGAAAGCGUAAUAGCUCACUGGUCGAGUCGGCCUGCGCGGAAGAUGUAACGGGGCUAAACCAUGCACCGAAGCUGCGGCAGCGAACGUAUCACUUAAAGCGAUUCAGCGGGUUACGAUUGACGGAGCGAAGCGACGUCAAAGCGUAUACAAAGUCGAGUCGGUUUAAGGAUACGUUCGUUGGGUAGGGGAGCGUUCUGUAAGCCUGUGAAGGUGUGUCGUGAGGCAUGCUGGAGGUAUCAGAAGUGCGAAUGCUGACAUAAGUAACGAUAAAGCGGGUGAAAAGCCCGCUCGCCGGAAGACCAAGGGUUCCUGUCCAACGUUAAUCGGGGCAGGGUGAGUCGACCCCUAAGGCGAGGCCGAAAGGCGUAGUCGAUGGGAAACGGGUUAAUAUUCCCGUACUUGGUGUUACUGCGAAGGGGGGACGGAGAAGGCUAUGUUGGCCGGGCGACGGUUGUCCCGGUUUAAGCGUGUAGGUGUGUGUUCCAGGUAAAUCCGGUUCACUUUAACACUGAGGCGUGACGACGAGGCACUACGGUGCUGAAGCAACAAAUGCCCUGCUUCCAGGAAAAGCCUCUAAGCAUCAGGUAACAUCAAAUCGUACCCCAAACCGACACAGGUGGUCAGGUAGAGAAUACCAAGGCGCUUGAGAGAACUCGGGUGAAGGAACUAGGCAAAAUGGUGCCGUAACUUCGGGAGAAGGCACGCUGACACGUAGGUGAAGUGAUUUACUCAUGGAGCUGAAGUCAGUCGAAGAUACCAGCUGGCUGCAACUGUUUAUUAAAAACACAGCACUGUGCAAACACGAAAGUGGACGUAUACGGUGUGACGCCUGCCCGGUGCCGGAAGGUUAAUUGAUGGGGUCAGCGCAAGCGAAGCUCCUGAUCGAAGCCCCGGUAAACGGCGGCCGUAACUAUAACGGUCCUAAGGUAGCGAAAUUCCUUGUCGGGUAAGUUCCGACCUGCACGAAUGGCGUAAUGAUGGCCAGGCUGUCUCCACCCGAGACUCAGUGAAAUUGAACUCGCUGUGAAGAUGCAGUGUACCCGCGGCAAGACGGAAAGACCCCGUGAACCUUUACUAUAGCUUGACACUGAACAUUGAGCCUUGAUGUGUAGGAUAGGUGGGAGGCUUUGAAGCGUGGACGCCAGUCUGCGUGGAGCCGACCUUGAAAUACCACCCUUUAAUGUUUGAUGUUCUAACGUGGACCCGUGAUCCGGGUUGCGGACAGUGUCUGGUGGGUAGUUUGACUGGGGCGGUCUCCUCCUAAAGAGUAACGGAGGAGCACGAAGGUUGGCUAAUCCUGGUCGGACAUCAGGAGGUUAGUGCAAUGGCAUAAGCCAGCUUGACUGCGAGCGUGACGGCGCGAGCAGGUGCGAAAGCAGGUCAUAGUGAUCCGGUGGUUCUGAAUGGAAGGGCCAUCGCUCAACGGAUAAAAGGUACUCCGGGGAUAACAGGCUGAUACCGCCCAAGAGUUCAUAUCGACGGCGGUGUUUGGCACCUCGAUGUCGGCUCAUCACAUCCUGGGGCUGAAGUAGGUCCCAAGGGUAUGGCUGUUCGCCAUUUAAAGUGGUACGCGAGCUGGGUUUAGAACGUCGUGAGACAGUUCGGUCCCUAUCUGCCGUGGGCGCUGGAGAACUGAGGGGGGCUGCUCCUAGUACGAGAGGACCGGAGUGGACGCAUCACUGGUGUUCGGGUUGUCAUGCCAAUGGCACUGCCCGGUAGCUAAAUGCGGAAGAGAUAAGUGCUGAAAGCAUCUAAGCACGAAACUUGCCCCGAGAUGAGUUCUCCCUGAGACUUAGAGUCUCCUGAAGGAACGUUGAAGACGACGACGUUGAUAGGCCGGGUGUGUAAGCGCAGCGAUGCGUUGAGCUAACCGGUACUAAUGAACCGUGAGGCUUAACCUU
This 2989-nucleotide ribosomal RNA is filed under the name Salmonella enterica subsp. enterica. RNAcentral's name for it is "23S ribosomal RNA". It matches the Rfam family "Bacterial large subunit ribosomal RNA". Lineage: Bacteria; Pseudomonadati; Pseudomonadota; Gammaproteobacteria; Enterobacterales; Enterobacteriaceae. The record is from RNAcentral.